Molecule: ribosomal RNA, 274 nt
Filed under: uncultured Thauera sp.
Lineage: Bacteria; Pseudomonadati; Pseudomonadota; Betaproteobacteria; Rhodocyclales; Zoogloeaceae
Description: partial 16S ribosomal RNA
Rfam family: Bacterial small subunit ribosomal RNA
Source: RNAcentral
GUCAUUAGUUGCCAUCAUUUAGUUGGGCACUCUAAUGAGACUGCCGGUGACAAACCGGAGGAAGUGGGGAUGACGUCAAGUCCUCAUGGCCCUUAUGGGUAGGGCUUCACACGUCAUACAAUGGUCGGUACAGAGGGUUGCCCAAGCCGCGAGGUGGAGCCAAUCCCUUAAAGCCGAUCGUAGUCCGGAUCGUAGUCUGCAACUCGACUACGUGAAGUCGGAAUCGCUAGUAAUCGCAGAUCAGCAUGCUGCGGUGAAUACGUUCCCGGGUCUU